UAAACAGUCUAGAACUACACAUUAUUCCUGUAUUCACUAAUGAUUUCUAUUUCUUCUUCUCCCAUCUUCAGGGCUGUUCCUGCUCUGCCUUCCACAGGAGGCAUCUGCAAGCUCUUCCAGGUGCUCAAAUGCACCUUGCUCAGCAGGCUGGUCUGGUCUGGUCACCCAUCUGUGGCUGAGAUCACUCCCAUCUGUGGAAUGGCUGUCCAUGUCCUCCUGUGAAUGAGGUGCUGCAGAGUGCAAGGUGACUCUGCUGAAGUUCCUCUGGAAGCUGCAGUUUCUUGUGGACUCUACUCCCCCUCCAGACCUGCUGGUGGUGUUACCUCUUCCAUCUGCAGAACUGUUGCCCUUUCACCAGCUGCACUAGCAUCUGUAGCACCAGGAUCUGCUACUUUGCAGAAAACUGCCUUGUGGCCUGUAAGUGUAAGUAGCUCAGGUUAAGUGUCACUGUGUAUCAAUAUGAAAGCUAAAAAAAUCCAACUACAGUCUGCCUGGGGCCUCCAUGGGCCUUGUGCUUUCACUCUCAGUUGUAUUGCUUCUGUUUAUUGCGCUGUGAGAUCUAAAGUCUCUACUUGCAUGCUUUCCCAUUCUACAC
Molecule: long non-coding RNA, 595 nt
Filed under: Anas platyrhynchos platyrhynchos (common mallard)
Lineage: Eukaryota; Metazoa; Chordata; Aves; Anseriformes; Anatidae
Description: lncRNA (ENSAPLG00000025496.1)
Source: RNAcentral